RNAcentral lists this ribosomal RNA (253 nucleotides) under uncultured Parachlamydia sp. RNAcentral's name for it is "partial 16S ribosomal RNA". It matches the Rfam family "Bacterial small subunit ribosomal RNA", at positions 524 to 776 of the family's 1533-position model. Lineage: Bacteria; Pseudomonadati; Chlamydiota; Chlamydiia; Parachlamydiales; Parachlamydiaceae. The record is from RNAcentral.
UACGGAGGGUGCAAGCAUUAAUCGGAUUUAUUGGGCGUAAAGGGCGCGUAGGCGGGCUGAAAAGUCGGGUGUGAAAUUCCGGAGCUUAACUUCGGAGCUGCAUUUGAAACUAAUAGUCUAGAGGGUAGGCGGAGAAAAUGGAAUUCCACGUGUAGCGGUGAAAUGCGUAGAUAUGUGGAAGAACACCGGUGGCGAAAGCGGUUUUCUAGCUUAUACCUGACGCUGAGGCGCGAAAGCAAGGGGAGCAAACAGG